This 462-nucleotide ribosomal RNA is filed under the name uncultured bacterium. Its description in RNAcentral is "partial 16S ribosomal RNA". It matches the Rfam family "Bacterial small subunit ribosomal RNA", at positions 28 to 507 of the family's 1533-position model. The record is from RNAcentral.
GAUGAACGCUGGCGGCGUGCUUAACACAUGCAAGUCGAACGGAAAGGCCCUUCGGGGUACUCGAGUGGCGAACGGGUGAGUAACACGUGGGUGAUCUGCUCUGCACUUUGGGAUAAGCCUGGGAAACUGGGUCUAAUACCGAAUAGGACCACGCGCUUCAUGGUGUGUGGUGGAAAGCUUUUGCGGUGUGGGAUGGGCCCGCGGCCUAUCAGCUUGUUGGUGGGGUAAUGGCCUACCAAGGCGACGACGGGUAGCCGGCCUGAGAGGGUGACCGGCCACACUGGGACUGAGAUACGGCCCAGACUGGUACGGGAGGCAGCAGUGGGGAAUAUUGCACAAUGGGCGCAAGCGUGAUGCGGCGACGCCGCGUGAGGGAUGACGGCCUUCGGGUUGUAAACCUCUUUCAAUAGGGACGAAGCGCAAGUGACGGUACCUAUAGAAGAAGCACCGGCCAACUACGUG